RNAcentral lists this ribosomal RNA (253 nucleotides) under uncultured bacterium. Its description in RNAcentral is "partial 16S ribosomal RNA". It matches the Rfam family "Bacterial small subunit ribosomal RNA", at positions 524 to 776 of the family's 1533-position model. The record is from RNAcentral.
UACGUAGGUGGCAAGCGUUGUCCGGAUUUAUUGGGUUUAAAGGGUGCGUAGGCGGUCUUAUAAGUCAGUGGUGAAAGCCAACAGCUCAACUGUUGAACUGCCAUUGAUACUGCUUCACUUGAGUGCAGUUGAGGUGGGUGGAAUUCCAUGUGUAACGGUGAAAUGCUUAGAUAUAUGGAGGAACACCGAUAACGAAGGUAACUCACUAAACUGUAACUGACGCUGAGGUACGAAAGCGUGGGGAGCAAACGGG